RNAcentral lists this ribosomal RNA (468 nucleotides) under uncultured bacterium. RNAcentral's name for it is "partial 16S ribosomal RNA". It matches the Rfam family "Bacterial small subunit ribosomal RNA", at positions 28 to 507 of the family's 1533-position model. The record is from RNAcentral.
GACGAACGCUGGCGGCGUGCUUAACACAUGCAAGUCGAACGGAAAGGCCCUGCUUUUGUGGGGUGCUCGAGUGGCGAACGGGUGAGUAACACGUGAGUAACCUGCCCUUGACUUUGGGAUAACUUCAGGAAACUGGGGCUAAUACCGGAUAGGAGCUCCUGCUGCAUGGUGGGGGUUGGAAAGUUUCGGCGGUUGGGGAUGGACUCGCGGCUUAUCAGCUUGUUGGGGGGGUAGUGGCUUACCAAGGCUUUGACGGGUAGCCGGCCUGAGAGGGUGACCGGCCACAUUGGGACUGAGAUACGGCCCAGACUCGUACGGGGGGCAGCAGUGGGGAAUAUUGCACAAUGGGCGGAAGCCUGAUGCAGCAACGCCGCGUGCGGGAUGACGGCCUUCGGGUUGUAAACCGCUUUCGCCUGUGACGAAGCGUGAGUGACGGUAAUGGGUAAAGAAGCACCGGCUAACUACGUG